ACCAGCACCCCGAGUGGUCGGGACGAUUAUUGGGCCUAAAGCAUCCGUAGCCGGUUCUACAAGUCUUCCGUUAAAUCCAUCUGCUUAACAGAUGGGCUGCGGAGGAUACUAUGGAGCUAGGAGGCGGGAGAGGCAAGCGGUACUUAGUGGGUAGGGGUAAAAUCCGUUGAUCCACUGAAGACCACCAGUGGCGAAGGCGGCUUGCCAGAACGCGCUCGACGGUGAGGGAUGAAAGCUGGGGGAGCAAACCGGA
This 253-nucleotide ribosomal RNA is filed under the name uncultured prokaryote. Its description in RNAcentral is "partial 16S ribosomal RNA". It matches the Rfam family "Archaeal small subunit ribosomal RNA", at positions 475 to 728 of the family's 1478-position model. The record is from RNAcentral.